This 67-nucleotide microRNA precursor is filed under the name Bombyx mori (domestic silkworm). RNAcentral describes it as "mir-2774 microRNA precursor family". It matches the Rfam family "mir-2774 microRNA precursor family". The record is from Rfam by way of RNAcentral. Lineage: Eukaryota; Metazoa; Arthropoda; Insecta; Lepidoptera; Bombycidae.
ACUACAUUCGGACCGUCGGUCUACCGAGCAAUAUCACCCGCUCGGUGGAAGAUCUUCCCUUUGUCGU